RNAcentral lists this ribosomal RNA (263 nucleotides) under uncultured prokaryote. RNAcentral's name for it is "partial 16S ribosomal RNA". It matches the Rfam family "Bacterial small subunit ribosomal RNA", at positions 917 to 1178 of the family's 1533-position model. The record is from RNAcentral.
GGGCCCGCACAAGCGGUGGAGCAUGUGGUUUAAUUCGAAGCAACGCGAAGAACCUUACCAAAUCUUGACAUCCUUUGAAAACUCUAGAGAUAGAGCCUUCCCCUUCGGGGGACAAAGUGACAGGUGGUGCAUGGUUGUCGUCAGCUCGUGUCGUGAGAUGUUGGGUUAAGUCCCGCAACGAGCGCAACCCUUAAGCUUAGUUGCCAUCAUUCAGUUGGGCACUCUAGCAAGACUGCCGGUGAACAAACCGGAGGAAGGUGGGG